This 253-nucleotide ribosomal RNA is filed under the name uncultured bacterium. RNAcentral describes it as "partial 16S ribosomal RNA". It matches the Rfam family "Bacterial small subunit ribosomal RNA", at positions 524 to 776 of the family's 1533-position model. The record is from RNAcentral.
UACGUAGGGUGCAAGCGUUGUCCGGAAUUAUUGGGCGUAAAGAGCUCGUAGGCGGUUUGUCGCGUCUGCUGUGAAAACUCGGGGCUUAACCUCGGGCCUGCAGUGGGUACGGGCAGACUAGAGUGCGGUAGGGGAGACUGGAAUUCCUGGUGUAGCGGUGAAAUGCGCAGAUAUCAGGAGGAACACCGGUGGCGAAGGCGGGUCUCUGGGCCAUAACUGACGCUGAGGAGCGAAAGCGUGGGGAGUGAACAGG